This 393-nucleotide ribosomal RNA is filed under the name uncultured bacterium. RNAcentral's name for it is "bacterial SSU rRNA". It matches the Rfam family "Bacterial small subunit ribosomal RNA", at positions 96 to 524 of the family's 1533-position model. The record is from RNAcentral.
CGGCGCACGGGUGAGUAACGCGUGGGAAUUUACCUUGGAGUGGGGAAUAACCGCUGGAAACGGCGGCUAAUACCGCAUACGCCCUUAUGGGGAAAGCUUUAGCGCUCUGGGAUGAGCCCGCGUUAGAUUAGGUAGUUGGUGGGGUAAAGGCCUACCAAGCCUGCGAUCUAUAGCUGGUCUGAGAGGAUGAUCAGCCACACUGGGACUGAGACACGGCCCAGACUCCUACGGGAGGCAGCAGUGGGGAAUAUUGGACAAUGGGGGCAACCCUGAUCCAGCCAUGCCGCGUGCGUGAAGAAGGCCUUAGGGUUGUAAAGCGCUUUCACUGGUGAAGAUGAUGACGGUAGCCAGAGAAGAAGCCCCGGCUAACUCCGUGCCAGCAGCCGCGGUAAU